Non-coding RNA from Podarcis lilfordi (Lilford's wall lizard), 75 nucleotides. NCBI's taxonomy places the organism in Eukaryota, Metazoa, Chordata, Lepidosauria, Squamata, Lacertidae. The record is from the annotation of a GenBank genome assembly.
GUGUAGCUCAGUGGCUAGAGUACCUGCUGGGUAUGCAGAAGGUCCCAGGUUCAAUCCCCAAAGAUACCUGCAACA